GAGACUUAGAGUCUCCUGAAGGAACGUUGAAGACGACGACGUUGAUAGGCCGGGUGUGUAAGCGCAGCGAUGCGUUGAGCUAACCGGUACUAAUGAACCGUGAGGCUUAACCUU
This 114-nucleotide ribosomal RNA is filed under the name Salmonella enterica subsp. enterica serovar Senftenberg. Its description in RNAcentral is "partial 23S ribosomal RNA". It matches the Rfam family "Bacterial large subunit ribosomal RNA", at positions 2801 to 2925 of the family's 2925-position model. Lineage: Bacteria; Pseudomonadati; Pseudomonadota; Gammaproteobacteria; Enterobacterales; Enterobacteriaceae. The record is from RNAcentral. RNAcentral also lists the same sequence under 5 other names.